GGAACUAUAGUUUAAAGGUUAAAACUAACCGCUCAUAACGGUUCAAUGAUUGUUCGAGUCAAUCUGGUUCUA
Non-coding RNA from Yarrowia lipolytica, 72 nucleotides. NCBI's taxonomy places the organism in Eukaryota, Fungi, Ascomycota, Dipodascomycetes, Dipodascales. The record is from Rfam.